This 3089-nucleotide ribosomal RNA is filed under the name Salmonella enterica. Its description in RNAcentral is "23S ribosomal RNA". It matches the Rfam family "Bacterial large subunit ribosomal RNA". The record is from RNAcentral. Lineage: Bacteria; Pseudomonadati; Pseudomonadota; Gammaproteobacteria; Enterobacterales; Enterobacteriaceae.
GGUUAAGCGACUAAGCGUACACGGUGGAUGCCCUGGCAGUCAGAGGCGAUGAAGGGCGUGCUAAUCUGCGAUAAGCGCCGGUAAGGUGAUAUGAACCGUUAUAACCGGCGAUACCCGAAUGGGGAAACCCAGUGUGAUUCGUCACACUAUCAUUAACUGAAUCCAUAGGUUAAUGAGGCGAACCGGGGGAACUGAAACAUCUAAGUACCCCGAGGAAAAGAAAUCAACCGAGAUUCCCCCAGUAGCGGCGAGCGAACGGGGAGGAGCCCAGAGCCUGAAUCAGCAUGUGUGUUAGUGGAAGCGUCUGGAAAGGCGCGCGAUACAGGGUGACAGCCCCGUACACAAAAGCGCAUGUGCUGUGAGCUCGAUGAGUAGGGCGGGACACGUGGUAUCCUGUCUGAAUAUGGGGGGACCAUCCUCCAAGGCUAAAUACUCCUGACUGACCGAUAGUGAACCAGUACCGUGAGGGAAAGGCGAAAAGAACCCCGGCGAGGGGAGUGAAAAAGAACCUGAAACCGUGUACGUACAAGCAGUGGGAGCCCCACCACCAAAGCAUUCUCUGGUGUUGAAGGCCCUGCAAAGCAGCAUCGCGGUGGCGGAGCGUCGUUUGCGACGCCCAACACACAAAACAAGCGGUGAAUGCUUUGGGGUGGGGUGACUGCGUACCUUUUGUAUAAUGGGUCAGCGACUUAUAUUCUGUAGCAAGGUUAACCGAAUAGGGGAGCCGGAGGGAAACCGAGUCUUAAUUGGGCGUUAAGUUGCAGGGUAUAGACCCGAAACCCGGUGAUCUAGCCAUGGGCAGGUUGAAGGUUGGGUAACACUAACUGGAGGACCGAACCGACUAAUGUUGAAAAAUUAGCGGAUGACCUGUGGCUGGGGGUGAAAGGCCAAUCAAACCGGGAGAUAGCUGGUUCUCCCCGAAAGCUAUUUAGGUAGCGCCUCGUGAAUUCAUCUCCGGGGGUAGAGCACUGUUUCGGCUAGGGGGCCAUCCCGGCUUACCAACCCGAUGCAAACUGCGAAUACCGGAGAAUGUUAUCACGGGAGACACACGGCGGGUGCUAACGUCCGUCGUGAAGAGGGAAACAACCCAGACCGCCAGCUAAGGUCCCAAAGUCAUGGUUAAGUGGGAAACGAUGUGGGAAGGCCCAGACAGCCAGGAUGUUGGCUUAGAAGCAGCCAUCAUUUAAAGAAAGCGUAAUAGCUCACUGGUCGAGUCGGCCUGCGCGGAAGAUGUAACGGGGCUAAACCAUGCACCGAAGCUGCGGCAGCGAACGUAUCACUUAAAGCGAUUCAGCGGGUUACGAUUGACGGAGCGAAGCGACGUCAAAGCGUAUACAAAGUCGAGUCGGUUUAAGGAUACGUUCGUUGGGUAGGGGAGCGUUCUGUAAGCCUGCGAAGGUGGCCUGUGAGGGUUGCUGGAGGUAUCAGAAGUGCGAAUGCUGACAUAAGUAACGAUAAAGCGGGUGAAAAGCCCGCUCGCCGGAAGACCAAGGGUUCCUGUCCAACGUUAAUCGGGGCAGGGUGAGUCGACCCCUAAGGCGAGGCCGAAAGGCGUAGUCGAUGGGAAACGGGUUAAUAUUCCCGUACUUGGUGUUACUGCGAAGGGGGGACGGAGAAGGCUAUGUUGGCCGGGCGACGGUUGUCCCGGUUUAAGCGUGUAGGUGUGUGUUCCAGGUAAAUCCGGUUCACUUUAACACUGAGGCGUGACGACGAGGCACUACGGUGCUGAAGCAACAAAUGCCCUGCUUCCAGGAAAAGCCUCUAAGCAUCAGGUAACACGAAAUCGUACCCCAAACCGACACAGGUGGUCAGGUAGAGAAUACCAAGGCGCUUGAGAGAACUCGGGUGAAGGAACUAGGCAAAAUGGUGCCGUAACUUCGGGAGAAGGCACGCUGACACGUAGGUGAAGUGAUUUACUCAUGGAGCUGAAGUCAGUCGAAGAUACCAGCUGGCUGCAACUGUUUAUUAAAAACACAGCACUGUGCAAACACGAAAGUGGACGUAUACGGUGUGACGCCUGCCCGGUGCCGGAAGGUUAAUUGAUGGGGUCAGCGCAAGCGAAGCUCCUGAUCGAAGCCCCGGUAAACGGCGGCCGUAACUAUAACGGUCCUAAGGUAGCGAAAUUCCUUGUCGGGUAAGUUCCGACCUGCACGAAUGGCGUAAUGAUGGCCAGGCUGUCUCCACCCGAGACUCAGUGAAAUUGAACUCGCUGUGAAGAUGCAGUGUACCCGCGGCAAGACGGAAAGACCCCGUGAACCUUUACUAUAGCUUGACACUGAACAUUGAGCCUUGAUGUGUAGGAUAGGUGGGAGGCUUUGAAGUGUGGACGCCAGUCUGCAUGGAGCCGACCUUGAAAUACCACCCUUUAAUGUUUGAUGUUCUAACGUGGACCCGUAAUCCGGGUUGCGGACAGUGUCUGGUGGGUAGUUUGACUGGGGCGGUCUCCUCCUAAAGAGUAACGGAGGAGCACGAAGGUUGGCUAAUCCUGGUCGGACAUCAGGAGGUUAGUGCAAUGGCAUAAGCCAGCUUGACUGCGAGCGUGACGGCGCGAGCAGGUGCGAAAGCAGGUCAUAGUGAUCCGGUGGUUCUGAAUGGAAGGGCCAUCGCUCAACGGAUAAAAGGUACUCCGGGGAUAACAGGCUGAUACCGCCCAAGAGUUCAUAUCGACGGCGGUGUUUGGCACCUCGAUGUCGGCUCAUCACAUCCUGGGGCUGAAGUAGGUCCCAAGGGUAUGGCUGUUCGCCAUUUAAAGUGGUACGCGAGCUGGGUUUAGAACGUCGUGAGACAGUUCGGUCCCUAUCUGCCGUGGGCGCUGGAGAACUGAGGGGGGCUGCUCCUAGUACGAGAGGACCGGAGUGGACGCAUCACUGGUGUUCGGGUUGUCAUGCCAAUGGCACUGCCCGGUAGCUAAAUGCGGAAGAGAUAAGUGCUGAAAGCAUCUAAGCACGAAACUUGCCCCGAGAUGAGUUCUCCCUGAGACUUAGAGUCUCCUGAAGGAACGUUGAAGACGACGACGUUGAUAGGCCGGGUGUGUAAGCGCAGCGAUGCGUUGAGCUAACCGGUACUAAUGAACCGUGAGGCUUAACCUU